Molecule: non-coding RNA, 110 nt
Organism: Podarcis lilfordi (Lilford's wall lizard)
Lineage: Eukaryota; Metazoa; Chordata; Lepidosauria; Squamata; Lacertidae
Source: the annotation of a GenBank genome assembly
ACCUUAGAGACCAACUAAGUUUGUUAUUGGUAUGAGCUUUGGUGUAUCUGAAGAAGUGUGCAUGCACACGAAAGCUCAUACCAAUAACAAACUUAGUUGGUCUCUAAGGU